Molecule: ribosomal RNA, 460 nt
Filed under: uncultured bacterium
Lineage: Bacteria
Description: partial 16S ribosomal RNA
Rfam family: Bacterial small subunit ribosomal RNA
Source: RNAcentral
CCUACGGGAGGCAGCAGUGAGGAAUAUUGGUCAAUGGACGAGAGCCUGAACCAGCCAAGUAGCGUGCAGGAUGACUGCCCUACGGGUUGUAAACUGCUUUUAUACGGGAAUAACGCGCCUUACGUGUGGGGCUUUGCAUGUACCGUAUGAAUAAGGACCGGCUAAUUCCGUGCCAGCAGCCGCGGUAAUACGGAGGAUCCGGGCGUUAUCCGGAUUUAUUGGGUUUAAAGGGAGCGUAGGCAGCAUGUUAAGCGUGCUGUGAAAUGUCCGGGCUCAACCGGGGACUUGCAGCGCGAACUGGCGGGCUUGAGUCCGCGGAAGGCAGGCGGAAUUCGUCGUGUAGCGGUGAAAUGCUUAGAUAUGACGAAGAACCCCGAUUGCGAAGGCAGCUUGCUGCAGUGGAACUGACGCUGAGGCUCGAAAGCGCGGGUAUCGAACAGGAUUAGAUACCCGGGUAGUC